UCCUUGUGGCAGGUAUACUGUUCCAGUGACCUGGGAUCUCUGUAGUGGUCGGUACUGUAUUGAUUAUAAAUGGUGAAGUCCUAGUAUCUUGCUAGAGUGAGCUGGCCAGGAUGGUGGAGCUCUACCACCAUUUCACAGGUUAUAGACAGGGGCCACCAGGUUUCAGGAAAGCAGCAAUGACCCCUCAGUAAUAGUUGGAAAGUGUGAUAUGACACUGAGCUUCACUGUGUUGGUGAAGAAGAGCUGCAGUUUGCCUCCACCUCUAAAGAAGCACAAUACACCUUUCUGGGUUACCCAUGGGAUACUUCCCAACAGCUUUGUCAUCACAUACAACAUUCGCAAACAAGAUCUUAAUGACAUCCACUUUCUCCAGGAACACAGCCCUUGACCUGUGCGUGUUUGCGUAGAGAAGGCAUGCUAUGUACCCCCUAGGAUAUGAAUCUGCCCACCACUCAAGCCUGGGAAAGCUGGCAGAGGAUGCACGUGUUUUACUCACCUGAGUGUUCACAAUGCUCGUGAGGUGCCUGCCUGAUAGUACAGAGGAAUGAAGAAGGAAUAAACAGACCUUCUGGAUAAUUGCAUCAGCCUUCCCCACUAUUCCAAUGCCAUGCUAACAUUUCAAGUAAUGUCCCUUUUGUCUUGCUGAGAAAAAAUCAUUUCAUGAUUUAUUACACUGGAUUAAAGGCUAUGCACACUC
Gorilla gorilla gorilla (western lowland gorilla) is the source of this 697-nucleotide long non-coding RNA. RefSeq lists it as uncharacterized. NCBI's taxonomy places the organism in Eukaryota, Metazoa, Chordata, Mammalia, Primates, Hominidae. The record is from RefSeq and is a predicted model, not a curated record. The transcript has 5 exons.